UUGAGGAGUCGGGAGUACCAUAAAUUGAGAAAUCGGGAGUACCAUAAAUUGAGGAGUCGGGAGUUGAGGUAUCACAAAUUUAGGUGUCAAGGUACCAUAACUUGAGAAGUCAGGAGUCAGUGCUUCCAUAAACUGAGGAGUCUGGAGUUAAGGUACCAUAAAUUGAGCGGUUGGGAGUCGGUGGUACCAUAAAUUGAGGAAUCUGGAUUACCAUAAACUGAGAAGUCGGGAGUCAGUUCUGCCAUAAUUUGAGGAGUCGGGAAUCGAGGUAUCAUAAAUUGAGAAGGGGAGUCAGUGUUAUUAAAAUUUGAGAAGUCGGAAGUCAGUGCUGCCAUAAACUGAGGAGUCGGGAGUCAAGUUACCAUAAAUUGAGGAGUUGACAGUUGGAGGUAUCAUAAAUUGAGGAGUUGGGAGUCAGUACUGCCAUAAAUUGAGGAGUAGGGAAUCGAGGCAUCAUGGUACCAUAACCUGAGGAGUUGGGAGUCGGUGAUACCCUAAGUAGAAGCCAGAAGUC
Erpetoichthys calabaricus (reedfish) is the source of this 514-nucleotide long non-coding RNA. RefSeq lists it as uncharacterized. The record is from RefSeq and is a predicted model, not a curated record. The transcript is spliced from 3 exons. Lineage: Eukaryota; Metazoa; Chordata; Cladistia; Polypteriformes; Polypteridae.